RNAcentral lists this ribosomal RNA (433 nucleotides) under uncultured bacterium. RNAcentral's name for it is "partial 16S ribosomal RNA". It matches the Rfam family "Bacterial small subunit ribosomal RNA", at positions 29 to 507 of the family's 1533-position model. The record is from RNAcentral.
AACGAACGCUGGCGGCAUGCCUAACACAUGCAAGUCGAACGAGACCUCCGUGUCUAGUGGCGCACGGGUGCGUAACGCGUGGGAACCUGCCCUUAGGCACCGAAUAACUCCCCGUAAGGGGGGCUAAUACCGGAUAAUGUCUUCUGAUCCGAGAUUUGUCGCCUUUGGGUGGGCCCGCGUUGGUUUAGCUUGUUGGGAGGGUAAAAGCCUAUCAAGGAGUCGAUCGAUAGCUGGGCUGAGAGGCAGGACAGCCACACUGGGACUAUGACACGGGGCGGACUCCUACGCGAGGCGGCAGAGCGUAAUACUGGACUAUGGGCGAGAUCCUGAUCCAGCAAUGCCGCGUGAGUCAUGAAGGCCUUAGGGUUGUACAGCUCUUUUACCCGGCAUGAUAAUGACAGUACCGGGAGAAUAAGCUCCGGCUAACUCCGUG